Molecule: long non-coding RNA, 878 nt
Organism: Onychostoma macrolepis
Lineage: Eukaryota; Metazoa; Chordata; Actinopteri; Cypriniformes; Cyprinidae
Exons: 5
Source: RefSeq, a predicted model, not a curated record
UGCAAAUGUCCUUUGAAUGUGCAUUUAAGUCUAAAUUUAAACAGUAUUAUAUAGAGUGAUCGUGUCUCUUUAGGGCGCUUGGAGGAAACCACGCAAUUCAUAUGGAUUACUUUGGCGAUGUUUUUUUGCGAUGAACUUUUUGAAACGUGAACAUCUUUGAUUAAUCUUUUCAUCGGAGGGACAUAACGUUACAUCUCUCAGAUUUCAUUAAAAUAGCUCCGCUUUUCUUUCGAAGAUGAACGAAAGUCUUAGAUGGUUUGGAGCAUCUUAAGGCUUCUGCAAGCGUGUAUGGCGUCUGGCUGUUGGAACCUCACUGUGACUUCAGAUAAGAACAAAGAUUAAAUUGUAAGAAGGGCUGCUUGUAAGAGCAUACAGUACAUCUGAAACUGCUGAGGCUGGGAAGGUUUUUGACUAUAUUUCCGACCAGAUCAGCUGCUAUAGAAGACAAACUGAAAUCUGAGUGCAGAGACAAGCAAAGGAAUACUGCAAGGCACUUGUGCAAAAUAUUGUAUGCCAGGACGACUAGGCUGUGCCCAGGUCUCCGGAACCUGCGACGACACUCAGCUCCAUCGGCCCUCCAUCUACAUCUUGGCUCCUCCCUCCCUCGACUCCGCUGUGUAUUGUCAGCACUGGGAUGCUCUGGGUCUGUGCCAUGUGCCAAACUCCAUCUAAGCCGCCAGGGCAUCAUCGUCAUCCUCCCAUCACCAUCCCUUCACCACAUCCUGCCAUCAUCCCGCACCUUUGCCUCUCACCAUUCCUACACCAUCUCCUCGUCCACCUCCAAAACCCCUCCAUCCCUCCCUAUUCUGUUGCUUGAACUUUAUCAUCUUCAGUCUUUGCACACACAUCUAUUCACUUCUGCACUUAGUUUUUCUGUA